CACGUGGAAGACAAGCGUUAUUCAUCUUUAAUAGGUUUAAAGGGUACCUAGACAGUAAAUUAAGCAAGAGAUUGUACUAAUUAUUACUAGAGUUUAAUAUAAGAAGGGUCAGUACGAUGCGGAGUAGAGAUAGAAUUCUUUGAUACUCAUGGGGACUGGUUAAGGCGAAGGCAACCUUUAUAUAAAAACUGACGUUGAGGGACGAAGGCUCAAGGAGAAAAAAGAGGAUUAGAUACCCUCGUAUAGUGGGCAGACAAUGAUGAGUGUCAUAUGUAAGAAGUUUUCUUUUUUUGUAUAAAUGAAAGUGUAAGCACUCCACCUCAAGAGUAACAUGGCAACAUGGGAACUGAAAUCAUUAGGCCGUUUCUGAAUCUCGUAGUGAAGUAUGUUGUUUAAUUUGAUAGUCCGCAAAUAACCUUACCACAAUAUGUAUACCUUGUGGGUUAAUAUAGCUAUUUAUAUAACUUGUUGUAUAAUUUGUUGUAUAAUAUAACUAUAUUAAUUUAAUACAUAAAUGUAUUAUGUAUUAAUUUAUAUUUAUAAUUAUUAGUAACAAGCACUGCACGGCUGUCUUCAGUUAAUGUUGUGAAACUUUGGUUAGAUCCAUUAAAUUGACGUAAACCCUUGCUUUAUUUGUUA
Molecule: ribosomal RNA, 639 nt
Filed under: Graphis aff. nigrocarpa Lumbsch 20506a
Lineage: Eukaryota; Fungi; Ascomycota; Lecanoromycetes; Ostropales; Graphidaceae
Description: SSU rRNA
Rfam family: Bacterial small subunit ribosomal RNA
Source: RNAcentral